UACAGAGGCCUCGAGCGUUAGGCGGAAUCACUGGGCUUAAAGCGUGUGUAGGCGGACUUCUAAGUGCCUUGUGAAAUCCCACGGCUCACCCGUGGAACUGCUGGGCAUACUGGGAGUCUUGAGCCACCUAGGGGCGAGCGGAACAAAUGGUGGAGCGGUGAAAUGCGUAGAUAUCAUUUGGAACGCCAACGGAGAAAUGAGCGCGCGGGGGGUGUGCUGACGCAGAGACACGAAAGCCAGGGGAGC
Molecule: ribosomal RNA, 246 nt
Filed under: uncultured bacterium
Lineage: Bacteria
Description: partial 16S ribosomal RNA
Rfam family: Bacterial small subunit ribosomal RNA
Source: RNAcentral